UGGGGAAUCUUGCACAAUGGGGGCAACCCUGAUGCAGCGACGCCGCGUGAGCGAUGAAGCCCUUCGGGGCGUAAAGCUCCUUCGACCGGAACGAUAAUGACGGUACCGGGAGAAGAAGCUGCGGCUAACUACGUGCCAGCAGCCGCGGUAAUACGUAGGCAGCAAGCGUUGUUCGGAGUUACUGGGCGUAAAGAGUACGUAGGCGGUUUUCUAAGUUCGGUGUGAAAUCUCCCGUCUUAACUGGGAGGGUGCGCCGAAGACUGGGAAGCUGGAGUGUGGGAAAGGCAGGCGGAAUUCCUGGUGUAGCGGUGAAAUGCGUAGAUAUCAGGAGGAACACCGGCGGUGUAGACGGCUUGCUAGACCAUAACUGACGCUGAGGCACGAAAGCGUGGGUAGCAAACA
RNAcentral lists this ribosomal RNA (402 nucleotides) under uncultured bacterium. Its description in RNAcentral is "bacterial SSU rRNA". It matches the Rfam family "Bacterial small subunit ribosomal RNA", at positions 355 to 774 of the family's 1533-position model. The record is from RNAcentral.